UUAGUUCUUCACAAUCUUCAAUAUAGAUAUUUACAAGAUAAUUUAAAUAGAAUGGCAGGCUCUGGAUUUUUGUCCGUCAAUCCAUAUAAAAAUGUCUAGGUAUAUGGGGAUGAUAAAGAAAGAAGCUUUUGGACACUCCUCAUGCUUAUGCUGUAGCUGAUGCGGCAUACAAUGCAAGGAUAGCAGAUGAAGUAAGCCUGGCUAUAA
Molecule: long non-coding RNA, 207 nt
Organism: Salvia splendens (bonfire salvia)
Lineage: Eukaryota; Viridiplantae; Streptophyta; Magnoliopsida; Lamiales; Lamiaceae
Exons: 3
Source: RefSeq, a predicted model, not a curated record